GUUGUUGCUGUUAAAAAGCUCGUAGUUGGAUCUUGAGAUCUCUGCUGCUUGGGUCCGCCGGAAUGGUGAGUACUCUUCAGCUGGUCUCUUCCUACUGGAUCUCCGGUACUGCACUUAAUUGGGUGGUACAAUUGGCCUUCGGGUCGGUCGCCGGGUGUUCACACUGCCGAGUGUGAGUCUGCAGAGCCGCGUGUCAUGCGUGGCCGAGUGGGCCAUUCGGAUCACAGUCUGGGCGCUGGGUGGGAAUCCAGUUCGUUUACUUUGAGUAAAUUAGAGUGUUUAAAGCAGCCUCUUGGGGCUUUGAAUACAUUAGCAUGGGAUAAUGGAAUAGGACUUUGGUUCUAGUUUGUUGGUUUGGAGGACUAAAGUAAUGAUUAAUAGGGAUAGUUGGGGGCAUUAGUAUUUAAUAGUCAGAGGUGAAAUUCUCGGAUUUGUUAAAGACUAACUUAUGCGAAAGCAUUUGCCAAGGAUGUUUUCAUUAAUCAAGAACGAAAGUUGGGGGCUCGAAGACGAUCAGAUACCGUCCUAGUCUUAACCAUAAACUAUGCCGACUAGGGAUCGGCGGAUGUUAAUUUUUCGACUCCGCCGGCACCUUGUGUGAAAACAAAGUUUUUGGGUUCUGGGGGAAGUAUGGUCGCAAGGCUGAAACU
Molecule: ribosomal RNA, 650 nt
Filed under: Euplotes focardii
Lineage: Eukaryota; Ciliophora; Spirotrichea; Euplotida; Euplotidae
Description: partial Eukaryotic small subunit ribosomal RNA
Rfam family: Eukaryotic small subunit ribosomal RNA
Source: RNAcentral